This 751-nucleotide ribosomal RNA is filed under the name uncultured euryarchaeote. RNAcentral describes it as "bacterial SSU rRNA". It matches the Rfam family "Archaeal small subunit ribosomal RNA", at positions 102 to 856 of the family's 1478-position model. The record is from RNAcentral. Lineage: Archaea; Methanobacteriati; Methanobacteriota.
AGGUAACCUACCCUUCGGACGGGCACAACCCCGGGAAACUGGGGCUAAUUCCCGAUAGGUACCCCCUUCUGGAAUGUGGGGAUAUCCAAAGCUCCGGCGCCGAAGGAUGGGCCUGCGGCCGAUUAGGUUGUUGGCGGGGUAACAACCCACCAAGCCGACGAUCGGUACGGGCAGUGAGAGCUGUAGCCCGGAGAUGGGGACUGAGACAAGGCCCCAGGCCCUACGGGGCGCAGCAGGCGCGAAACCUUCACAAUGCACGAAAGUGUGAUGAGGGUACUCCGAGUGCGCAUACAUUGUAUGUGCUUUUCUGCAGCGUAAAUAGUUGCAGGAAUAAGGGCUGGGCAAGACCGGUGCCAGCCGCCGCGGUAACACCGGCAGCCCUAGUGGUGGCCGCUUUUAUUGGGCCUAAAGCGUCCGUAGCCGGACAGGCGAGUCUUUGGGUAAAUCCUACGUCUUAAGCGUGGGAAUUCUAAAGAUACUACCUGUCUUGAGGCCGGGAGAGGCUGGAGGUACUCCUGGGGUAGGGGUAAAAUCCUAUAAUCCUGGGGGGACCACCGAUGGCGAAGGCAUCCAGCUGGAACGGGCCUGACGGUGAGGGACGAAACCCAGGGGAGCGAGCCGGAUUAGAUACCCGGGUAGUCCUGGGCGUAAAUGAUGUGGGCUUGGUGUGAGCGCAUCGACGAGGUGCGCUUGUGCCGUAGGGAAGCCGUUAAGCCCACCGCCUGGGGAGUACGGUCGCAAGGUUGAAACU